GUCAUCCAUACGCCAAUCCAUAACGUAUGGAAGGGAACCCGGUGAACUGAAACAUCUAAGUAGCCGGAGGAAGAGAAAACAACAAGUGAUUCUGUGAGUAGCGGCGAGCGAAAACGGAAGAGCCCAAACCGGAAUGCGUGCAUUCCGGGGUUCGGACCGCGUAAUUGAUCUGAUAAGUUUAGCAGAAUGGUUUUGGGAAAGCCAGCCAGAGAGGGUGAAAGCCCCGUAAGCGAAAGACGAGUCAGCAAGGCGGGAUCCAGAGUACCACGAGACACGAGAAACCUUGUGGGAAUGAGCGGGGACCACCCCGUAAGGCUAAAUACUCCUUAGUGACCGAUAGCGCAUAGUACUGUGAAGGAAAGGUGAAAAGGACCCCGGGAGGGGAGUGAAAGAGAACCUGAAACCCUGUGUUUACAAGCUGUGGAACAUCUUUAUAUGAUGAACCGCGUACUUUUUGUAGAACGGUCCGGCGAGUUACGCCAUCUGGCGAGGUUAAGUUCUUAAGGAAUGGAGCCGAAGUGAAAACAAGUCUUAAUAGGGCGUUAAGUCAGAUGGAGUAGACCCGAAACCGGGUGAUCUAUCCAUGUCCAGGAUGAAGUUGCCGUAAAAGGCAAUGGAGGUCCGAACCCACAUCCGUUGAAAAGGGUGGGGAUGAGGUGUGGAUAGGGGAGAAAUUCCAAUCGAACCCGGAGAUAGCUGGUUCUCCUCGAAAUAGCUUUAGGGCUAGCCUCAUGAGAGUCUUUUGGAGGUAGAGCACUGAAUUCCCGCGGGGGCGUCAAAGCUUACCAAAGGAUAUCAAACUCCGAAUGCCAGUAAGAUGAUUCAUGGGAGUCAGACUACACGAGAUAAGUUGGGUAGUCAAAAGGGAAAGAGCCCAGACCUGCAGCUAAGGUCCCAAAAUGUGUGUUAAGUGGAAAAGGAUGUGGGAUUUCAAAGACAACCAGGAUGUUGGCUUAGAAGCAGCCAUACAUUAAAAGAGUGCGUAAUAGCUCACUGGUCGAGAGGUCCUGCGCCGAAAAUGUCCGGGGCUGAAACACACUACCGAAGCUCAGGAAUUAACGUAGUUAAUUGGUAGAGGAGCAUUCUUAAAGGGAAGAAGCAGUACCGGAAGGAGCUGUGGACUUUUAAGAAGAGAGAAUGCCGGAAUGAGUAGCGAGAGGAAGGUGAGAAUCCUUCCGGCCGAAUAUCCAAGGUUUCCAGAGUAAAGCUGAUCUGCUCUGGGUAAGUCGGGGCCUAAGGUGAGGUCGAAAGACGUAGCCGAUGGACAACAGGUUGAAAUUCCUGUACUGCAGUAUAACAGAACUGUGGGGACGCAGAGGGAGAGCACUAGCGGGAAUGGAAUCCCGUGGCAAGCGAGGUAGGAGUAGAGUUGGCAAAUCCGCUCUAUAAUCCGAAGACGUGAUGCAUACCGAAUUAAAGUAGGGAAAUGUGUGAGCCAGCUGCCAAGAAAAGCCGCUAUUGUUUGUACUGUACCCGUACCGUAAACCGACACAGGUAGGUGAGGAGAGAAUCCUAAGGCCGACGGGAGAAGCAUUGUUAAGGAACUCGGCAAAAUGACUCCGUAACUUCGGGAGAAGGAGUGCCAUGCGAAUGGCCGCAGAGAAUUGGCCCAAGCAACUGUUUAGCAAAAACACAGGUCUAUGCAAAACCGUAAGGUGAAGUAUAUGGGCUGACGCCUGCCCGGUGCUGGAAGGUUAAGGGGAGAGGUUAGCGCAAGCGAAGCUUUGAACUUAAGCCCCAGUAAACGGCGGCCGUAACUAUAACGGUCCUAAGGUAGCGAAAUUCCUUGUCGGGUAAGUUCCGACCCGCACGAAAGGCGUAAUGAUUUGAGCGCUGUCUCGACAAUGCAUCCGGUGAAAUUGAAGUACCAGUGAAGAUGCUGGUUACC
RNAcentral lists this ribosomal RNA (1888 nucleotides) under human metagenome. RNAcentral describes it as "bacterial LSU rRNA". It matches the Rfam family "Bacterial large subunit ribosomal RNA", at positions 147 to 2070 of the family's 2925-position model. The record is from RNAcentral.